CAAGUCGGACGAGAAAGGAGACUUCGGUCUCUGAGUACAGUGGCGCACGGGUGCGUAACACGUAAGUAAUCUACCCUGAACUCUGGGAUAACCCUCCGAAAGGAGGGCUAACACUGGAUAGGGUCCCCGAGGUAUAGGCUGCGGGGGGAAAACGGGCCUCUGUUUCAUGCUCGUGGUUCAGGAUGAGCUUGCGGCCCAUUAGCUUGUUGGUAGGGUAAUGGCUUACCAAGGCGACGAUGGGUAGCUGGUCUGAGAGGAUGAUCAGCCACACUGGCACUGAGACACGGGCCAGACUCCUACGGGAGGCAGCAGUGGGGAAUUUUGCGCAAUGGGCGAAAGCCUGACGCAGUAACGCCGCGUGGAGGAUGAAGGCCUUCGGGUUGUAAACUCCUGUCAGGGGGAACGACGGAGCAAGGGUGAUAAGCCCUUUCCUCCAGACGGUACCUCCAAAGGAAGCCCCGGCUAAUUCCGUGCCAGCAGCCGCGGUAAUACGGAAGGGGCGAGCGUUGUUCGGAAUCAUUGGGCGUAAAGGGCGCGUAGGUGGUUCUGUAUGUCUGCCGUGAAAGCAUACGGCUCAACCGUAUUUUGUCGGUAGAAACUGCAGGACUUGAGGCUGGGAGGGGCUGGCGAAUUUCCCGUGUAGCGUUAAAUGCGUAAAAAUGGGGGAAAACACUCGUGGCGAAGGCGCCAGCUAAACCAGUUCUGACACUGAGGCGCGAUAGCGUGGGAAC
Molecule: ribosomal RNA, 731 nt
Filed under: uncultured bacterium
Lineage: Bacteria
Description: bacterial SSU rRNA
Rfam family: Bacterial small subunit ribosomal RNA
Source: RNAcentral